Non-coding RNA from Schistosoma rodhaini, 48 nucleotides. The record is from Rfam. Lineage: Eukaryota; Metazoa; Platyhelminthes; Trematoda; Strigeidida; Schistosomatidae.
AUCCAGCUGACGAGUCCCAAAUAGAACGAAACACGCGUCAAACUGGAU